UUGCCCUGUCUCUGAUGAAGCUUAUGCUGAUAGAGACAUCAGAGCUCUGAUGGAAA
Molecule: small nucleolar RNA, 56 nt
Filed under: Carlito syrichta (Philippine tarsier)
Lineage: Eukaryota; Metazoa; Chordata; Mammalia; Primates; Tarsiidae
Description: Small nucleolar RNA SNORD74 (ENSTSYG00000025345.2)
Source: RNAcentral